RNA transcript from Zingiber officinale, 2184 nucleotides. It is a transcript of the gene named ABC transporter G family member 12-like, with no coding region annotated. The record is from RefSeq and is a predicted model, not a curated record. The transcript is spliced from 5 exons. NCBI's taxonomy places the organism in Eukaryota, Viridiplantae, Streptophyta, Magnoliopsida, Zingiberales, Zingiberaceae.
CGAGGCCGGAUCUUCUGGUCCGCAAUUUGCGGACCAGGGGAUGGUCUCAUGCCCUCUCCGUCCAACUCGUCUCCAGCGAACCUCUCCUCUGAACUCCUCUUCGCCGAACGACGUUGAGCGACAUUUCCUUUCCUAGGUAUAGGUGAGGCAAGAGAACAUGUUUACAUUCACCGUGCGAGACACCAUCACCUACUCGGCCCACCUUCGGCUUCCGGCUGUAGACAAGAGGGAGGUAGUGGUGGUAGUGGUGUCGGAGGUGGUGGAGGUGGUGGAGGCGGUGGAGGUGACGAUCCUUGAGAUGGUGCUGCAGGAAUGCGCAGACCGGUUGAUCUGGAACUGGCACAUGAGGGGGAUCAGCGGCGCGGAGAAGAAGAGACUGAGCAUCGCGCUGGAGAUCCUGACGCAGCUGCUGCUCCUCUUCCUCGACGAGCCCACCACCGGGCUCUACAACGUCGUCGCCUUCUUCAUGGUGCAGACGCUAAAGCACAUCGCGGCGGAUGGCAACAAGAUCAUCGUCUCAUCCAUCCACCAGCCCGGCAGCAAGGUCUUCUGCCUCUUAUCUGGCAGAGAGGUCGUCUUCUUUGGAGAUGCCAAGUUGGCCACCCAGUUGUUGAUGAACAAACCACAACAAGCUGGCAAGGAGUAUUUAGCAUUUCAUCGUAUAGGUCAUACUUCAAUAUUGAUGCUGUGGUAGUUGUUGAUGAACAAACAACAAAAAGUUGUCAAGUAGUAUUUAGCAUUUCAUCGUAUAGGUCAUACUUCAAUAUUGAUGUUGUGGUAGACAGAAUCAUCACUUCAGUCUACCCUAUGAAUGAUUUCUACAAGAAGAUUGAUUCUAAUCUCGAUUUAGACAGAAUCAACUUCAGAUCCAUUGUCAACAUUAGCUACUACACAGAUUAAAGUAAUUCUCAUUGAUGAAUACAGGAGCUUAGGGUAUGCCAAGCAUACCCAAAGGCAGAUUAAAGAGAUAUGCAAGAUAAAGGUGUGGACUCUAUGGAAGCCUCUAGAAUGCUUGCGAAAAAAUGUUAGGGAUUAUUAUAUACCACAAAAGAGGGAAGGUAAGUUGAAAAUUGAAGAGACCAAAGAGGAUAUACUUACCAAAGCACUUGAGACUGAAGUAAGCAUAUCGUUGGCUUUGAGGCCGACUAGCUAUUUUGUGCUCUUUUGUUUUAAAUUUGAAUACCACUAUCUACUUUGAAACAAAACUAUUUAGUCUUUGAUAUCAAGGAUCAUCCUCUGGAGAUGCACUUACUCGGGAUUCGUGGAAAGGGAAGGCUCAGUCCCCUGUGGCUCUCCCGAACUAUUAAGUAUGUUGUUCUCCCUGGAAAUAUUGGAAGACAAGCUGCCAAGCUAUUUUUUAUCCUUAAUGCUGGGGGAGUACGGAUGAGCGACCUAUCCGGAGGACCAUCUACUCAAGUUUGAGAAUGCAGCUAUUCUUCACCAAUACACAAAUGACGUCAAGUGCCGAGUAUUCUUGAAAUCCUCUCGAGCUCGGCACAGAGAUGGUUCAACCGACUUUUGGUUGACUAUAUUUGCUACUUCAAGGAUUUUCUGCAAGAUGCUCCUCCACCACUUCGCCAGCAGCCACCGAUAACACAAGACCACGCUAAGUUUAUUUUCCCUCAAGCAAUGGCCCAAUAAGGCUCUCAGGGCGUACAUCAAACAGUAUAACUAGGUGGUUAUGGGCGUCUCUAUGGGUACUCCAAAGAUUCUGGUGAGUGCUUUUUUCCAAGGGCUCAUCGAUGGAAACUUCUUUCGGUCCUUGAUCAAGAAGCACCUUAGGGAUUUUGACCAUCUACUAGGAAGGGCGACCAAGUACAUCAUUGUGGAGAAGGCUCAGUCCGCUGGGAAGAAGGAGGUAGCCCCGCUUGCUCUUGUCUCUGUCUUAGAGCACCGAGCUCCUCUCCCUCCUCUGCCACAUAAAGGAUCCUGAUCGGAUCAUCCACCACAUCCUUACGAGAAGAGGUCAAAUGCAGUCCAACAUGUGGAAGCUGCUCCGAUUUAGUAUCCCAAGCCCCACCAAUCGGCCCAGCCUUUCUGCACUUACCAUCGGAUGGGAACCCAUAGCAUUCAAGAGUGUAACAGGUACAAUCAGGGGGUGCGCUGAGCGACCAACCAAGAGUUCCGACGUCGAUCACCAUCUCUAAAUAAUUAGUAUUAUCAACGACCGAACAGACCAUCUAG